This 737-nucleotide non-coding RNA is filed under the name Pongo abelii (Sumatran orangutan). Lineage: Eukaryota; Metazoa; Chordata; Mammalia; Primates; Hominidae. The record is from RNAcentral.
AUCCUACCGAGGCCACCAUAGACCAGCCAGCCCUCAGCGUACAUGCCAGCUAAUUACAGAUGCAGGAGCAAACCCCUGGCCCAUACAUCAAUUUUAAUGUCAUUGAAUACAGAGAACAAAUCUCAUUCAUUUUGGUAUCGGCUCGAGUCAACAAACAUUGAAAAAUCAUUUACUGCGUCUGAUUUUGGGUAUGUUGAAUUGGUGACAUCUGAGUUGCUUCUGGUCUAUCCUGAUAGAAACAUACAGUAAACAGAGAAAAAAAAGGAUCUCAGGUGAGAUGAUGUAUGGGAAUGCUCAGCAUACAGAAUGAAUGGAUAAGAGGCCUGAAAACAUAAUCCUGUAAACAACCAUAUUGAAAGAGAAGACAGAAGACAUCAAAGAGACUUUGAGUCUUGCUCUAUGGCCCAGACUGGAGUGCAGUGGCAUGAUCUCGGCUCACUUCAACCUCCACCUCCAGGGUUCGAGAGAGAUUCUCCUGCCUUAUCUUCCCAAGUAGCUGGGAUCACCAACGCCCACAACCACACCCGGCUAAUUUUUGUACUUUUAGUGGAGACAGGGUUUCGCCAUGUUGGCUAGGCUGGUCUCAAACUCCCGACCUCAGGUGAUCCACCUGCCUUGGCCUCCCAAAGUGCUGGGAUUACAGACGUGAGCCCCCGCACCUGGCCAAGAUCAGCUAGAUUUUGGAAGCAUUGCCUUCUACAGAAUCCACAGUAGUCCGAAGUUCUUCUACGGUUUUU